RNAcentral lists this ribosomal RNA (431 nucleotides) under uncultured bacterium. RNAcentral describes it as "partial 16S ribosomal RNA". It matches the Rfam family "Bacterial small subunit ribosomal RNA", at positions 29 to 507 of the family's 1533-position model. The record is from RNAcentral.
AACGAACGCUGGCGGCAGGCCUAACACAUGCAAGUCGAGCGCCCUUUCGGGGGAGCGGCGGACGGGUGAGUAACGCGUGGGAACGUGCCCUUUGCUUCGGAAUAGCCCUGGGAAACUGGGAGUAAUACCGGAUGAGCCCUUUGGGGGAAAGAUUUAUCGGCGAAGGAUCGGCCCGCGUUGGAUUAGGUAGUUGGUGGGGUAAUGGCCUACCAAGCCGACGAUCCAUAGCUGGUUUGAGAGGAUGAUCAGCCACACUGGGACUGAGACACGGCCCAGACUCCUACGGGAGGCAGCAGUGGGGAAUCUUAGACAAUGGGGGAAACCCUGAUCUAGCCAUGCCGCGUGAGCGAUGAAGGCCUUAGGGUUGUAAAGCUCUUUCAGCUGGGAAGAUAAUGACGGUACCAGCAGAAGAAGCCCCGGCUAACUCCGUG